This 1372-nucleotide ribosomal RNA is filed under the name uncultured bacterium. Its description in RNAcentral is "bacterial SSU rRNA". It matches the Rfam family "Bacterial small subunit ribosomal RNA", at positions 28 to 1381 of the family's 1533-position model. The record is from RNAcentral.
GAUGAACGCUGGCGGCGUGCCUAAUACAUGCAAGUCGAGCGAACGGACGAGAAGCUUGCUUUUCUGAUGUUAGCGGCGGACGGGUGAGUAACACGUGGAUAACCUACCUAUAAGACUGGGAUAACUUCGGGAAACCGGAGCUAAUACCGGAUAAUAUUUUGAACCGCAUGGUUCAAAAGUGAAAGACGGUCUUGCUGUCACUUAUAGAUGGAUCCGCGCUGCAUUAGCUAGUUGGUAAGGUAACGGCUUACCAAGGCAACGAUGCAUAGCCGACCUGAGAGGGUGAUCGGCCACACUGGAACUGAGACACGGUCCAGACUCCUACGGGAGGCAGCAGUAGGGAAUCUUCCGCAAUGGGCGAAAGCCUGACGGAGCAACGCCGCGUGAGUGAUGAAGGUCUUCGGAUCGUAAAACUCUGUUAUUAGGGAAGAACAUAUGUGUAAGUAACUGUGCACAUCUUGACGGUACCUAAUCAGAAAGCCACGGCUAACUACGUGCCAGCAGCCGCGGUAAUACGUAGGUGGCAAGCGUUAUCCGGAAUUAUUGGGCGUAAAGCGCGCGUAGGCGGUUUUUUAAGUCUGAUGUGAAAGCCCACGGCUCAACCGUGGAGGGUCAUUGGAAACUGGAAAACUUGAGUGCAGAAGAGGAAAGUGGAAUUCCAUGUGUAGCGGUGAAAUGCGCAGAGAUGUGGAGGAACACCAGUGGCGAAGGCGACUUUCUGGUCUGUAACUGACGCUGAUGUGCGAAAGCGUGGGGAUCAAACAGGAUUAGAUACCCUGGUAGUCCACGCCGUAAACGAUGAGUGCUAAGUGUUAGGGGGUUUCCGCCCCUUAGUGCUGCAGCUAACGCAUUAAGCACUCCGCCUGGGGAGUACGACCGCAAGGUUGAAACUCAAAGGAAUUGACGGGGGCCCGCACAAGCGGUGGAGCAUGUGGUUUAAUUCGAAGCAACGCGAAGAACCUUACCAAAUCUUGACAUCCUUUGACAACUCUAGAGAUAGAGCCUUCCCCUUCGGGGGACAAAGUGACAGGUGGUGCAUGGUUGUCGUCAGCUCGUGUCGUGAGAUGUUGGGUUAAGUCCCGCAACGAGCGCAACCCUUAAGCUUAGUAGCCAUCAUUAAGUUGGGCACUCUAAGUUGACUGCCGGUGACAAACCGGAGGAAGGUGGGGAUGACGUCAAAUCAUCAUGCCCCUUAUGAUUUGGGCUACACACGUGCUACAAUGGACAAUACAAAGGGCAGCGAAACCGCGAGGUCAAGCAAAUCCCAUAAAGUCGUUCUCAGUUCGGAUUGUAGUCUGCAACUCGACUACAUGAAGCUGGAAUCGCUAGUAAUCGUAGAUCAGCAUGCUACGGUGAAUACGUUCCCGGGUCU